AUGGGAACGCGAAGAACCUUACCUAGACUUGACAUCUCCUGAAUUACUCUGUAAUAGAGGAAGCCCUUCGGGGCAGGAAGACAGGUGGUGCAUGGUUGUCGUCAGCUCGUGUCGUGAGAUGUUGGGUUAAGUCCCGCAACGAGCGCAACCCUUAUUGUUAGUUGCUACCAUUAAGUUGAGCACUCUAGCGAGACUGCCCGGGUUAACCGGGAGGAAGGUGGGGAUGACGUCAAAUCAUCAUGCCCCUUAUGUCUAGGGCUACACACGUGCUACAAUGGCUGGUACAGAGAGAUGCUAAACCGCGAGGUGGAGCCAAACUUUAAAACCAGUCUCAGUUCGGAUUGUAGGCUGAAACUCGCCUACAUGAAGCUGGAGUUGCUAGUAAUCGCGAAUCAGAAUGUCGCGGUGAAUACGUUCCCGGGUCUUGUACACACCG
Molecule: ribosomal RNA, 436 nt
Filed under: uncultured bacterium
Lineage: Bacteria
Description: bacterial SSU rRNA
Rfam family: Bacterial small subunit ribosomal RNA
Source: RNAcentral